GACGAACGCUGGCGGCGUGCUUAACACAUGCAAGUCGAACGGAAAGGCCCUGCUUUUGUGGGGUGCUCGAGUGGCGAACGGGUGAGUAACACGUGAGUAACCUGCCCUUGACUUUGGGAUAACUUCAGGAAACUGGGGCUAAUACCGGAUAGGAGCUCCUGCUGCAUGGUGGGGGUUGGAAAGUUUCGGCGGUUUGGGAUGGACUCGCGGCUUACCAGCUUGUUGGUGGGGUAGUGGCUUACCAAGGCUUUGACGGGUAGCCGGCCUGAGAGGGUGACCGGCCACAUUGGGACUGAGAUACGGCCCAGACUCCUACGGGAGGCAGCAGUGGGGAAUAUUGCACAAUGGGCGGAAGCCUGAUGCAGCAACGCCGCGUGCGGGAUGACGGCCUUCGGGUUGUAAACCGCUUUCGCCUGUGACGAAGCGUGAGUGACGGUAAUGGGUAAAGAAGCACCGGCUAACUACGUG
This 468-nucleotide ribosomal RNA is filed under the name uncultured bacterium. RNAcentral describes it as "partial 16S ribosomal RNA". It matches the Rfam family "Bacterial small subunit ribosomal RNA", at positions 28 to 507 of the family's 1533-position model. The record is from RNAcentral.